This 354-nucleotide ribosomal RNA is filed under the name Glomeromycotina sp. RNAcentral's name for it is "eukaryotic LSU rRNA". It matches the Rfam family "Eukaryotic large subunit ribosomal RNA", at positions 110 to 458 of the family's 3401-position model. The record is from RNAcentral. Lineage: Eukaryota; Fungi; Glomeromycota.
CAAAUUUUAAAUCACCUAGGUUACCUGGGCGAGUUGUAAUUUGAAGAAAGUGUUUUGAUGCUCUGGUUUUGUCUAAAUCCUUUGGGAUAAGGUAUCAUAGAGGGUGAGAAUCCCGUUCAUGAUUUAAACCCUGGGUGUCACCUAAUUCACUUUCUAAGAGUCGAGUUGUUUGGGAUUGCAGCUCAAAAUGGGUGGUAAAUUUCACCUAAGGCUAAAUAUAUGCAAGAGACCGAUAGCGAACAAGUACCGUGAGGGAAAGAUGAAAAGAACUUUGAAAAGAGAGUUAAAUAGUACGUGAAAUUGUUGAAAGGGAAACGAUUGAAGUCAGUCAUGCUUGCAGGGAAUCAGCAAGGG